GAUGAACGCUGGCGGCGUGCUUAACACAUGCAAGUCGAACGGAAAGGCUCCUGCUUGCAGGGGUACUCGAGUGGCGAACGGGUGAGUAACACGUGGGUGAUCUGCCCUGCACUUCGGGAUAAGCCUGGGAAACUGGGUCUAAUACCGGAUAGGACGAUGGUUUGGAUGCCAUUGUGGAAAGUUUUUCGGUGUGGGAUGAGCUCGCGGCCUAUCAGCUUGUUGGUGGGGUAAUGGCCUACCAAGGCGUCGACGGGUAGCCGGCCUGAGAGGGUGUACGGCCACAUUGGGACUGAGAUACGGCCCAGACUCCUACGGGAGGCAGCAGUGGGGAAUAUUGCACAAUGGGCGCAAGCCUGAUGCAGCGACGCCGCGUGGGGGAUGACGGCCUUCGGGUUGUAAACUCCUUUCGCUAGGGACGAAGCGCUAGUGACGGUACCUGGAGAAGAAGCACCGGCUAACUACGUG
This 465-nucleotide ribosomal RNA is filed under the name uncultured bacterium. Its description in RNAcentral is "partial 16S ribosomal RNA". It matches the Rfam family "Bacterial small subunit ribosomal RNA", at positions 28 to 507 of the family's 1533-position model. The record is from RNAcentral.